AGUGAAGUGCCUGACUAAAGGAUUAUCGUGAUAGGGUAAAUAAUGUAAUAUAUUACCUUCACUA
Molecule: transfer RNA, 64 nt
Filed under: Nauphoeta cinerea (gray cockroach)
Lineage: Eukaryota; Metazoa; Arthropoda; Insecta; Blattodea; Blaberidae
Description: tRNA-Ile
Source: RNAcentral